CUGCUCUAAGUGAACCAUUCCAGGUAUUAUUCUUCAGUUGUGAAUAAAACGAACAAAACACCUGCCCUCAUGGACUCUAUUCCCACAGGAUAGGAAGACAGUACUUUUAGGCUGAAAAUGGUCUCUCUGGAGCCAUGACUUGCAAGUUCAAUGCUCAGCAGACAUUGACAGAACUUUUGUGUGUAACAUAUUGCCACCUGAUUCUGAAAAGCGCCCGUCAUUUCCACGACACCAGUGGAGGCCCUGGGUGGUGCGGCCAGCCAGCGAGGCCCUGCUGAGCACCCUGUGAUGAAGACAACACCUGCUCAGAGGGAUUCCUUUUCGUGGGUCGCCAUUACCACUAGAAGGAUGGUUCAUGUCUGCUGCUGACUGGUCAAAGACAUAGUGUCAGUUUUUUAAUAACAAGCUGGGAGCACUUGCAAGUCAAAGGAAGGGAGGGAGAAAGCGAAGCAUGCCCAGUGUUAUUUCAAUAGGCAAGCUCCAAAGUCUUCUAAGGUUGACACUGCCUAAUUAAUGACGGCACCAAAUGGAGCCAAAAGCGUGAAGUCUGCAAAUGGCUAAUAAUGAGGGCUAGAUAGAUAUACCCCACUUUCCAUGCAUGUUCAUAGGGCUGGCUGCAGAAUGUAAUUGAAGUAAAUGGGGUUUUCUGCUUGUUUCUUAUUCUUUAAUGCUGAGAGGGUGUUUCUAUUCUCUUCUCUUACCUCAAAGAACCUCAAUUAAUUAUAGCAAGUUUUAUACCUGAUGGCAUCACUGCUAGAAUCCUUGACAUAGAAACCCUUGAAGGACAUUUUCAGGAGAGGGAGACACCCAGUCCUGUGCAUAUGUUCAGCCUACAUUUAUCUCUUUGCAGUUAUAGCUGAUCGACCCUAACUCUCUCUGGUAUUGGGGAGGUGGGUUGUUGUUUCCAGCUCCUCAUGCUUGUGAAAACCAAGGAGUUCCAUUCUUUCUUUUAAAUGCUUAAGUUCAAGUCAUUUUUAACAUGCCAUGACCCUUUAAUGAAAACAGCCAAUAAGAUAGGAUCUGCAAAAGCGAGACAUUUUAGGAACAAGGGAUUUUUUUUUCCCCCAUGGUCUUUGUUUUCCCAGUCUUGAAUUAAUCACAGCUGUCUUUCACCAGCAAAGGUUAUUUUUAUCUAGCAUGCUUUAAAUUAAAAAACAACAACAACAACAAAGGGAGCAGUCUGAUGUUCUUCAAGCUCCCAUAACCUUCCACAGAAUAGAGGGAAGCAUUAGCUCUGGGCAGCUAAGAAUACAGCUUUUAAUUAUAUCUUCCCUGUGUUUACAUGAACUUUAGUUUGCAUUUCAGAAGCCUUAUGGAAGGAUUCCUGUGGCUGACCCAGGAGUAGUG
This is a long non-coding RNA of Odocoileus virginianus texanus, 1347 nucleotides long. RefSeq lists it as uncharacterized. NCBI's taxonomy places the organism in Eukaryota, Metazoa, Chordata, Mammalia, Artiodactyla, Cervidae. The record is from RefSeq and is a predicted model, not a curated record.